Molecule: transfer RNA, 74 nt
Filed under: Candidatus Omnitrophota bacterium
Lineage: Bacteria; Pseudomonadati; Candidatus Omnitrophota
Description: tRNA-His
Rfam family: tRNA
About the family: Transfer RNA (tRNA) molecules are approximately 80 nucleotides in length. Their secondary structure includes four short double-helical elements and three loops (D, anti-codon, and T loops). Further hydrogen bonds mediate the characteristic L-shaped molecular structure. tRNAs have two regions of fundamental functional importance: the anti-codon, which is responsible for specific mRNA codon recognition, and the 3' end, to which the tRNAs corresponding amino acid is attached (by aminoacyl-tRNA synthetases). tRNAs cope with the degeneracy of the genetic code in two manners: having more than one tRNA (with a specific anti-codon) for a particular amino acid; and 'wobble' base-pairing, i.e. permitting non-standard base-pairing at the 3rd anti-codon position.
Source: RNAcentral
GUGGCUAUAGUGUAGCGGCAGCACAAGAGAUUGUGGAUCUCUCAGUACGGGUUCAACCCCCGUUAGCCACCCCA